UAUAUAUAUAUAUAUCACAUGAAUAUAAAUGAGGUGUGUAAAAAAUAAAUAAAUCACACAUAUGGCUAGUGAGUCAUUCAAAAAGAAUCAAGAAUCAUUUGAGAAUGAUCAUGAUUCUCUAACUGAUGCUCAUAUUCUGCAUACAGAGAGAUUUAAUAUGUACAUGAGUAAUGUACAUAAUAAAACAUUAUUUAAAACACAACCACUUAUUACUUAUCACUUAUUAAUUAUUACUUCCUGUUUAUGCCCCGCCCUCUCUUUCUGGUCUUUUUGAAGUUCUUUCUAAGGUUCUUUCAUCAAUUUUACUCCAUAGUGUUCUACAUAGAACCUGACAGUCACGUGAGAGUUACAAACAUCAGUUCUCUUAAGGGUUCCACAUGUGACUAAUGAGUUCAGAAGAACCUGCUUAAAAUUUGCUGUAUUAAAGCCACAAACCCAAAAUACAUCCCUGAACACUACUGUGAGGAGGCAGAGCUUUCUGAACUGAUUAACAGGAGACUAGAGACACCAAGUCGUCCUGAUCACAUAAUUCUGAAUUCUGGAUUCUGAUUGGUCAGAAGGUGUUGAUUAAUUCUCUAUAUCAGCAGCUCUGACAGUAGCGCUCCACAUAAACUAACAUUUUAUUUAUUUAACAUGUAUGGAAGGAGUCUCCAGUGUCAGCACUUUGUAACAGUCAGAACUUUAAGUUUUCCCAGUUUUCUUCAGAAUGACAAGCUGCGUGUUUUUUUUAAACCUUAUUAACUUGAAGGGAGAGAAUAAAGACAGAGAAUAAAGAGAGGGCACAGAUGGAACUGUUUACAGCUGCUAUAACGUUCCUCAACAAACAAACCAACAGACGGACUCGGAACAGGAUGCUGAUGAUUUACAGAGAAACGCAUCCGAAUGAAUCAGGAGGAACUUCAUCAUGCAGCAAGACAACGAUCCAAAACACACUUCCACCUCAACACAGGACUUCAUCAGGGGGAAAGUGGAAGGUUUUAGACUGGACAAGUCCAUCACCAGACCUUCACCCAACUGAUCAGCAUCUCACCUCCUGAAGAGGAGACUGAAGGGAGAAACAACCCGAAACUACUGGAAGAAGCUGCAGGAGAAACCUGGAGAAGCUUCACAGAAGAAGAAACCAGCAGUUUGGUGUCAUUGAGUCGCAGGAGUGAUGCACUUACUGCGAGUAAAGGAAAUGCAACCAAAUAUUAGACUAAAAUGUUAGUCUUGAAGUAAAUUAAAGUAAAUCUGUUCCUAUACUUUUGCUCACCUAAAAAUGGGUUUGAUACAAAAGGUUCUAUGUUUGAUGUUGUUUAACACGUCUAGAUGUAAACACCAGGAAAUAAAAGAUGAAAUCCUAAACUGAUCUCAUCUCCACCUUUUAAUCUCAAACACAGAUGUAUUUGGUGUGGAGCACAAACACAUAAACUGGCUUUGUGUUCCAAUAGUUUUGGAUGGGGCUGUAUAUUGUUUAUACCUGUAUAUAAACAGUUAGUCUUUUUUUUUUUCAUCGUCACAUAGCAGGACUCGGGUAGGGGGCGUGGCCUAAACUCAGAAUGCAGGUUAUAAUUUGUACAUUUUAUUAUUUUCUAGUUCAUGGUGAAUGUUUUGUUUGUUUUGUUUUACACUGCACUAUUCCUUUUUGUUAUUAAAAAGCGUGUUGAACACUGUCCCUC
Ictalurus punctatus (channel catfish) is the source of this 1658-nucleotide long non-coding RNA. NCBI's taxonomy places the organism in Eukaryota, Metazoa, Chordata, Actinopteri, Siluriformes, Ictaluridae. The record is from Ensembl.